GAUGAACGCUGGCGGCGUGCUUAACACAUGCAAGUCGAACGAAGCACUUUAACCUGAUUCUUCGGAUGCAGGUUUUUGUGACUGAGUGGCGGACGGGUGAGUAACGCGUGGGUAACCUGCCUCAUACAGGGGGAUAACAGUUAGAAAUGACUGCUAAUACCGCAUAAGACCACAGAGCCGCAUGGCUCGGUGGGAAAAACUCCGGUGGUAUGAGAUGGACCCGCGUCUGAUUAGGUAGUUGGUGGGGUAACGGCCUACCAAGCCAACGAUCAGUAGCCGACAUGAGAGGGUGACCGGCCACAUUGGGAAUGAGACACGGCCCAAACUCCUACGGGAGGCAGCAGUGGGGAAUAUUGCACAAUGGGGGAAACCCUGAUGCAGCGACGCCGCGUGAGCGAAGAAGUAUUUCGGUAUGUAAAGCUCUAUCAGCAGGGAAGAAAAUGACGGUACCUGACUAAGAAGCACCGGCUAAAUACGUG
This 479-nucleotide ribosomal RNA is filed under the name uncultured bacterium. Its description in RNAcentral is "partial 16S ribosomal RNA". It matches the Rfam family "Bacterial small subunit ribosomal RNA", at positions 28 to 507 of the family's 1533-position model. The record is from RNAcentral.